This 253-nucleotide ribosomal RNA is filed under the name uncultured bacterium. RNAcentral describes it as "partial 16S ribosomal RNA". It matches the Rfam family "Bacterial small subunit ribosomal RNA", at positions 524 to 776 of the family's 1533-position model. The record is from RNAcentral.
UACGUAGGGUGCAAGCGUUAUCCGGAAUUAUUGGGCGUAAAGAGCUCGUAGGCGGUCUGUCGCGUCUGCUGUGAAAACCCGAGGCUCAACCUCGGGCUUGCAGUGGGUACGGGCAGACUAGAGUGCGGUAGGGGAGACUGGAAUUCCUGGUGUAGCGGUGGAAUGCGCAGAUAUCAGGAGGAACACCGAUGGCGAAGGCAGGUCUCUGGGCCGCAACUGACGCUGAGGAGCGAAAGCAUGGGGAGCGAACAGG